RNAcentral lists this non-coding RNA (22 nucleotides) under Arabidopsis thaliana (thale cress). The record is from RNAcentral. RNAcentral also lists the same sequence under 1 other name. Lineage: Eukaryota; Viridiplantae; Streptophyta; Magnoliopsida; Brassicales; Brassicaceae.
GGCAAGUCUGGUGCCAGCAGCC